GAUGAACGCUGGCGGCGUGCCUAAUACAUGCAAGUCGAGCGAACGGACGAGAAGCUUGCUUCUCUGAUGUUAGCGGCGGACGGGUGAGUAACACGUGGAUAACCUACCUAUAAGACUGGGAUAACUUCGGGAAACCGGAGCUAAUACCGGAUGAUAUUUUGAACCGCAUGGUUCAAAAGUGAAAGACGGUCUUGCUGUCACUUAUAGAUGGAUCCGCGCUGCAUUAGCUAGUUGGUAAGGUAACGGCUUACCAAGGCAACGAUGCAUAGCCGACCUGAGAGGGGGUUCGCCCACAUGGGAACUGGGCCGCGGACCAACACCCGAGGGGUGGCAGAAGGAGGGAUGCUUCCGAAAAGGGGAAAAGCAGGCAGGAGCAACGCCGGGUGAGUGAAGGAGGUCUUGGGGUCGUAAAACUUUGUUAUUAGGGAAAACAAAUUGUGAAGGAAACUGUGCACCUUGUGACGGUCCCAAGAAAAAAAGCCGCGCCUAAUUACGU
This 496-nucleotide ribosomal RNA is filed under the name uncultured bacterium. Its description in RNAcentral is "partial 16S ribosomal RNA". It matches the Rfam family "Bacterial small subunit ribosomal RNA", at positions 28 to 506 of the family's 1533-position model. The record is from RNAcentral.